This is a long non-coding RNA of Leucoraja erinaceus (little skate), 311 nucleotides long. RefSeq lists it as uncharacterized. NCBI's taxonomy places the organism in Eukaryota, Metazoa, Chordata, Chondrichthyes, Rajiformes, Rajidae. The transcript has 2 exons. The record is from RefSeq and is a predicted model, not a curated record.
GUGCUAUCAUCACUCCUGCAACAUAACAACAAUAAAUCAAGCGAUAGCAAAGUCUAGUAGGAAGAAAGACGCUGAAAAGCCUGAAGCAGGUGAAUCACCUCAAGAGGCAGUUCCUGAUGGUGAAGCAGAUGAGCCGGCCACAAAGAGACUGCUUCGAUCCAUGACAAGUCAUAGUCAACAAACAGCAACUGUCGAGCACACUGACCGCAGGCAUGUCCUACCAGCGCAUUGCAUCAUUUGUAAAGGUUCAAAGUACACAAAAUAAAUAAAUUGUGGAAAAAAAUGAUUAUAUAAAGUUUUAUUUUAAUGUG